GGGGAUCUAGCUCAAAUGGUAGAGCGAUCGUUUAGCAUACGAUAGGCACUGGGAUCAAUGCCCAGGUUCUCCA
This 73-nucleotide transfer RNA is filed under the name Ichthyophthirius multifiliis. RNAcentral describes it as "tRNA-Ala". It matches the Rfam family "tRNA". Rfam says of the family: Transfer RNA (tRNA) molecules are approximately 80 nucleotides in length. Their secondary structure includes four short double-helical elements and three loops (D, anti-codon, and T loops). The record is from RNAcentral. Lineage: Eukaryota; Ciliophora; Oligohymenophorea; Hymenostomatida. RNAcentral also lists the same sequence under 1 other name.